UAAAAGACGGUCUUGCUGUCACUUAUAGAUGGAUCCGCGCUGCAUUAGCUAGUUGGUAAGGUAACGGCUUACCAAGGCAAUGAUGCAUAGCCGACCUGAGAGGGUGAUCGGCCACACUGGAACUGAGACACGGUCCAGACUCCUACGGGAGGCAGCAGUAGGGAAUCUUCCGCAAUGGGCGAAAGCCUGACGGAGCAACGCCGCGUGAGUGAUGAAGGUCUUCGGAUCGUAAAACUCUGUUAUUAGGGAAGAACAUAUGUGUAAGUAACUGUGCACAUCUUGACGGUACCUAAUCAGAAAGCCACGGCUAACUACGUGCCAGCAGCCGCGGUAAUACGUAGGUGGCAAGCGUUAUCCGGAAUUAUUGGGCGUAAAGCGCGCGUAGGCGGUUUUUUAAGUCUGAUGUGAAAGCCCACGGCUCAACCGUGGAGGGUCAUUGGAAACUGGAAAACUUGAGUGC
This 460-nucleotide ribosomal RNA is filed under the name Staphylococcus aureus. Its description in RNAcentral is "bacterial SSU rRNA". It matches the Rfam family "Bacterial small subunit ribosomal RNA", at positions 201 to 649 of the family's 1533-position model. Lineage: Bacteria; Bacillati; Bacillota; Bacilli; Caryophanales; Staphylococcaceae. The record is from RNAcentral.